Molecule: ribosomal RNA, 450 nt
Filed under: uncultured bacterium
Lineage: Bacteria
Description: partial 16S ribosomal RNA
Rfam family: Bacterial small subunit ribosomal RNA
Source: RNAcentral
GCUAAGAAUAUUCCGCAAUGGACGGAAGUCUGACGGAGCGACGCCGCGUGGAUGAUGAAGGCCGAAAGGUUGUAAAGUUCUUUUGCUGGGGAAGAAUAAGCCUAGGAGGGAAUGCCUAGGUGAUGACAUGAACCGGCGAAUAAGCCCCGGCCAACUACGUGCCAGCAGCCGCGGUAACACGUAGGGGGCGAGCGUUGUUCGGAAUUACUGGGCGUAAAGGGCAUGUAGGCGGUCUGGUAAGCCUGGCGUGAAAGACUGCAGCUUAACUGCAGGGAUGCGCUGGGAACUGCUGGGCUUGAGUGACGGAGAGGGAGCUGGAAUUCCUGGUGUAGGGGUGAAAUCUGUAGAUAUCAGGAAGAACACCGAUGGCGAAGGCAAGCUCCUGGCCGAUGACUGACGCUGAGGUGCGAAAGUGUGGGGAUCAAACAGGAUUAGAAACCCCUGUAGUCC